RNAcentral lists this ribosomal RNA (433 nucleotides) under uncultured bacterium. RNAcentral's name for it is "partial 16S ribosomal RNA". It matches the Rfam family "Bacterial small subunit ribosomal RNA", at positions 29 to 507 of the family's 1533-position model. The record is from RNAcentral.
AACGAACGCUGGCGGCAUGCCUAACACAUGCAAGUCGAACGAGACCUUCGGGUCUAGUGGCGCACGUGUGCGUAACGCGUGGGAACCUGCCCUUAGGUUCGGAAUAACUCCCCGAAAGGGGUGCUAAUACCGGAUAAUGUCUUCGGACCAAAGAUUUAUCGCCUUUGGUUGGGCCCGCGUUGGAUUAGCUAGUUGGUAGGGUAAAAGCCUACCAAGGCGACGAUCCAUAGCUGGUCUGAGAGGAUGAACAGCCACACUGGGACUGAGACACGGCCCAGACUCCUACGGGAAGAAGCAGUGGGGAAUAUUGGACAAUGGGCGAAAGCCUGAUCCAGAAAUGCCGCGUGAGUGAUGAAGGCCUUAGGGUUGUAAAGCUCUUUUACCCGGGAUGAUAAUGACAGUACCGGGAGAAUAAGCUCCGGCUAACUCCGUG